GACGAACGCUGGCGGCGUGCUUAACACAUGCAAGUCGAACGGAAAGGCCCUGCUUUUGUGGGGUGCUCGAGUGGCGAACGGGUGAGUAACACGUGAGUAACCUGCCCUUGACUUUGGGAUAACUUCAGGAAACUGGGGCUAAUACCGGAUAGGAGCUCCUGCUGCAUGGUGGGGGUUGGAAAGUUUCGGCGGUUGGGGAUGGACUCGCGGCUUAUCAGCUUGUUGGUGGGGUAGUGGCUUACCAAGGCUUUGACGGGUAGCCGGCCUGAGAGGGUGACCGGCCACAUUGGGACUGAGAUACGGCCCAGACUCCUACGGGAGGCAGCGGUGGGGAAUAUUGCACAAUGGGCGGAAGCCUGAUGCAGCAACGCCGCGUGCGGGAUGACGGCCUUCGGGUUGUAAACCGCUUUCGCCGGUGACGAAGCGUGAGUGACGGUAAUGGGUAAAGAAGCACCGGCUAACUACGUG
RNAcentral lists this ribosomal RNA (468 nucleotides) under uncultured bacterium. RNAcentral's name for it is "partial 16S ribosomal RNA". It matches the Rfam family "Bacterial small subunit ribosomal RNA", at positions 28 to 507 of the family's 1533-position model. The record is from RNAcentral.